GAUGAACGCUGGCGGCGUGCCUAAUACAUGCAAGUCGAGCGAAUGGAUUGAGAGCUUGCUCUUAUGAAGUUAGCGGCGGACGGGUGAGUAACACGUGGGUAACCUGCCCAUAAGACUGGGAUAACUCCGGGAAACCGGGGCUAAUACCGGAUAACAUUUUGAACCGCAUGGUUCGAAAUUGAAAGGCGGCUUCGGCUGUCACUUAUGGAUGGACCCGCGUCGCAUUAGCUAGUUGGUGAGGUAACGGCUCACCAAGGCAACGAUGCGUAGCCGACCUGAGAGGGUGCUCGGCCACGCUGGGACUGAGAAACGGCCCAGACUCCUACGGGGGGCAGCAGUAGGGAAUCUUCCGCAAUGGACGAAAGUCUGACGGAGCAACGCCGCGUGAGUGAUGAAGGCUUUCGGGUCGUAAAACUCUGUUGUUAGGGAAGAACAAGUGCUAGUUGAAUAAGCUGGCACCUUGACGGUACCUAACCAGAAAGCCACGGCUAACUACGUGCAGCCGCCGCUGUAA
Molecule: ribosomal RNA, 514 nt
Filed under: uncultured bacterium
Lineage: Bacteria
Description: partial 16S ribosomal RNA
Rfam family: Bacterial small subunit ribosomal RNA
Source: RNAcentral